UUGAAGGCAGAGACGAACAUUUUACAUUCAGCCUCAGAAGACAAAGGUGCAACCCAACCCUCCACUGUACAGCUCUCAGGACCAGAGCCUGUCUUCUCCAGACUACAAGAUGAGAACUGCAGUAUGUGCCAUCCUUCUCCUGAUGCUUCUGUGUCAAGGAGAAGCUCUGAGAUGCUAUGUAUGCUCCUCCUCAAGGGGGAGAGGACUAUGCCAGCCUACCGGCUUACUACGCUGUAUAAAAGGUUCUGACAUAUGUGGUGCCGUCUCAUUCAAAAAAUCAGACAUCUCAUUUCGUAAAUGCAUGAGCCGGUCUCGGUGCCGCGGCUAUCAGACGCCAGAUUUUGAAACAACAUGCUGCAGCACCGACGGCUGCAACUGAGCCUCUUCAUCACCGGCUGGACCAUCAUCUCUGAUCUCUGGAAGCUUCUCUGUUGGAUCAGCUCUGUUGCAUUCAGAUGAAAAUAUGUUGGAAUUGUUUGAAUAAAAUCAAAUAAA
Long non-coding RNA from Cololabis saira (Pacific saury), 495 nucleotides. RefSeq lists it as uncharacterized. The record is from RefSeq and is a predicted model, not a curated record. Lineage: Eukaryota; Metazoa; Chordata; Actinopteri; Beloniformes; Belonidae. The transcript has 4 exons.